RNAcentral lists this unclassified non-coding RNA (247 nucleotides) under Arabidopsis thaliana (thale cress). Lineage: Eukaryota; Viridiplantae; Streptophyta; Magnoliopsida; Brassicales; Brassicaceae. The record is from RNAcentral.
AAUCACCACUUCUACUCCAAAAAGCGAACAUGAGACACUAGAUCUCCAUGGUAUUGCAAAACUUGUCAUCAAUACUCCAAAAAGCAAACAUGAGAUGCUAGAUAUCCUGGCAUUACCAUCAGCUCAUUUUCGUUAUGUUUCAUGUUUGUAAUGAUGCCUCAUGUAUUAUACUCAAGAUAUUGGAGAAGGUGGCGUUAAGUUCAGGUGCACUUUUGGCGUUAUGUGUUAUUAGAUGGUGUGGUCAAGU